AUCUGCCUUCUAGAUGGGGACAACAUCCCGAAAGGGGUGCUAAUACCGAAUGUUGUAGUUGGUUCGCAUGGACUAGCUACUAAAGGUGGCCUCUGAAUAUGCUACCGCUAGAAGAUGAGCCUGCGUCUGAUUAGCUAGUUGGAGGGGUAACGGCCCACCAAGGCUUCGAUCAGUAGCCGGUCUGAGAGGAUGAACGGCCACACUGGGACUGAGACACGGCCCAGACUCCUACGGGAGGCAGCAGUGGGGAAUCUUCCGCAAUGGACGAAAGUCUGACGGAGCAACGCCGCGUGAGUGAAGAAGGUUUUCGGAUCGUAAAGCUCUUUCGUUAGGGACGAACGUGCUCUUUGUGAAUAAUGAGGAGUAAUGACGGUACCUAAAUAAGAAGCCACGGCUAACUACGUGCCAGCA
This 411-nucleotide ribosomal RNA is filed under the name uncultured Anaeromusa sp. RNAcentral describes it as "partial 16S ribosomal RNA". It matches the Rfam family "Bacterial small subunit ribosomal RNA", at positions 124 to 513 of the family's 1533-position model. Lineage: Bacteria; Bacillati; Bacillota; Negativicutes; Selenomonadales; Sporomusaceae. The record is from RNAcentral.